UACGGAGGGAGCUAGCGUUGUUCGGAAUUACUGGGCGUAAAGCGCACGUAGGCGGCUUUGUAAGUUAGAGGUGAAAGCCCGGGGCUCAACUCCGGAACUGCCUUUAAGACUGCAUCGCUUGAAUCCAGGAGAGGUGAGUGGAAUUCCGAGUGUAGAGGUGAAAUUCGUAGAUAUUCGGAAGAACACCAGUGGCGAAGGCGGCUCACUGGACACGUAUUGACGCUGAGGUGCGAAAGCGUGGGGAGCAAACAGG
This 253-nucleotide ribosomal RNA is filed under the name uncultured bacterium. Its description in RNAcentral is "partial 16S ribosomal RNA". It matches the Rfam family "Bacterial small subunit ribosomal RNA", at positions 524 to 776 of the family's 1533-position model. The record is from RNAcentral.